RNAcentral lists this long non-coding RNA (2466 nucleotides) under Strigops habroptila (Kakapo). Its description in RNAcentral is "lncRNA (ENSSHBG00005017354.1)". The record is from RNAcentral. Lineage: Eukaryota; Metazoa; Chordata; Aves; Psittaciformes; Psittacidae.
CUUCUUUUUUUUGUUCGUUUGGUUUUUUUUGGGGGGGGUGGGUGGAUUUUUUUGGGCUGCAUAACACUGACAUUUUAUUAGAAUUCAUUUGUAACAAAUGGAACUUGUGUCAGCAAAGAACUGAUUUUCAUACAGACUUUCUUUCGCCACCAAUGUAACGAAGUAAGAAAAUAAAAAGCACGCCUUUCAUUCUGUAAAACAUUUACGCGUACUACUAAUUAGAGGUAAUUGUAUCUUUUUUAACAAGCCAUUUUACAAGGUAAUUUUUUUUUAGUCUAUGCAUCCAAAACAAGAGCAAAGAACACAAUUUUUUAUUAUCUUUGUAAAGACACUCCAAGCUUGAAUGGCAAAGCCACAUAACAGAUGGUUAUGAUGAGACCUGCAGCCUUCUGAUAUCUGUGGAGUAUCAGGGCACCAAAAAAAAAAAAAGAGAGAGAGGAAAAAAAAAAAGAAAAAAAAAAGAAAAAAAAAAAGUAAUAAAACUAAAGAAAAUAGGAGAGAAUAAAAGGAAAAAAAGCAGUUGCAUUCUUUUUUAGUCAUUGCAAACAUUUUUUUUUUUUCCUUUUUACAUGUUCUGUGUCAUUUAAAUACACACAAGUGGAUUUUAGAAGCAGUUUCUUACAGAUGGGUUCAAGUUGUAACAUUAUUGGGUGUAGAAUCAAUAGGGCAGUGCAUAGUACAAAGGUAUACAUAGAAAGUGCAAAUCUCCCUAGAGGGCCAUUCCUUCCUCCAGCCAUUCUCUCUACUACCUAACCACUUAAAUAAUUUUUUAAAAAAGAGCUAAAUUAAACUUCUGUAUAAAUCAUUUUUAUAUAUUUUGUGGUUGUUUUUUUUCCUCCAUUGCAACUAAUUACAAAAUUAGACAUAACUACACAUAUAAAUGUAAAUAAUAGCACCAUACUGGUUAUGCUGAUAAAACCAAUUUUAAGCUCAGAAAUGUAUGAUGUAUGUAGACAAAGGUGCUUACUAUCCAAAUUAACCAUAGAAUGACUAUAUAUAAAAAUACAGAAAGUGGAAUGCACAUCAAUGAUGCUAACAGUUAUCCUAAGAAACAUAACUAAAAUGAAUAUUUAGUUGUACAACAGUUUUCCUCACAAAUCGGCUCUGCUUUUUUUUUAAUCCCCUCAUUUUCUUUGAGGCUUGCAUGACAGUCUGCUAGGGAGAACACACUAAUCCCUUUACAGAUUCAGUGUGCAAGAGUCUUCCCUAGUCUAUGUCUCCAAAAUGAUGCUUUUUGAUUAUCUUGUUUUUCUGAUCCCUUACAUUUGAUCUGAAGAACAUGACCACAUCCCAUAACCUGGCACUUCAAUAAUUAUUUUAAAAUAUAAAUCAAGGAAGAAGAAAAAGAAACAUAGUGCACAUUCUUCUGUUUCAGGUGUAAGUUAGAGAAUCUCAUUCUGAGGUAGCCUUCUAUAAUACUUCUGUAUAUAUAUACGUAUUUAUGUUUCUGUUUUGAUUUUUUUUCUUUAGAAAAGUGCUCAAAUACAAUGCUUGCUGGAGUUUGGUCUUUCAUAUUUUCCUUUCUGCUGGUAUGGGAAAAGUUGAAGAAGAAAAGUUGAGGUCACACUGACAAGCCAUAAAAAUGCUCCUAUUUGAAACCCCAAGGAAAGAAUUCCUUUGAUUCUCAUGUACUGACAAUGGCAGGAGGCAUGUUGGAAAACAGGGUCAAUGUAAAUGGCAUCCUAUUAAAAUUCUCAAAAAGUACGUUGUGCUGUUUGCAGAAUUUUCUGUGUUCCCCGGAAGAAAACUAGCGUCAUUCUCAAAUAUAUUCUGUGGGCUCAGUCUCGGUAGCCUUACGCGAACCCUCCCACUGAAAGCAGUUGCUUGACUUUAGCAAUCUGUUGACACAAGCAAAUGAGCAGGGCUUGGCCCAAAAUUAGAAAAAAAAAAAGAAGAAAAAAGAUGCAUGAGCACUGCCGAUGUCAACUACUGCUAUUGUACUGCUACAUCUCUGCAAUGAUAACACUAUAACCAGUGACACAGUGGGUUUGAAAAGCCAACGAGAAGUAGAUCUUUAAUUUGUGGGCUUGUCUGUUAUUGGAAAUAUGGAAAGAUAAUGGCCUUGACUACCUAUGUGUUUUGGGUUAUCAUUUAUUACCAUCCAUACUUGGUUAGAAACUGGAAAUGCAUAUUUUUCAAAAUUUUCUGAUACACGUAUUAAAAUGUUUGAAAAAAUAACAAGGAUAUGAACAAACUGAACUAAAUACAAAUGAAGGCUAACCUAAAGAAAUGCUAUUCAAAAUAAGUGUCAAAUAUAAGGCACUCUAAAUGUAAAAUUAAAAUAAAACCCAGCAUCCCCAAACAAUGCUGUAUGCCACAAAAUGUUUGAUUUCCCAGAGCAAUGUGUGUUUGGCUUUGCCCUGUUAAAUACGAUAAAUGUAAAUUAUAUAGCGCACACUAUAGACAGUAUACUAUUGAAUACAGUUUUAAAACAUCUUAAUACCUAGUAUAUUACAACAUUCUCCC